GAUGAACGCUGGCGGCGUGCCUAAUACAUGCAAGUCGAGCGAACAGACGAGGAGCUUGCUCCUUUGACGUUAGCGGCGGACGGGUGAGUAACACGUGGAUAACCUACCUAUAAGACUGGGAUAACUUCGGGAAACCGGAGCUAAUACCGGAUAACAUGUUGAACCGCAUGGUUCAACAGUGAAAGACGGUCUUGCUGUCACUUAUAGAUGGAUCCGCGCCGCAUUAGCUAGUUGGUAAGGUAACGGCUUACCAAGGCAACGAUGCGUAGCCGACCUGAGAGGGUGAUCGGCCACACUGGAACUGAGACACGGUCCAGACUCCUACGGGAGGCAGCAGUAGGGAAUCUUCCGCAAUGGGCGAAAGCCUGACGGAGCAACGCCGCGUGAGUGAAGAAGGUCUUCGGAUCGUAAAACUCUGUUAUUAGGGAAGAACAAAUGUGUAAGUAACUAUGCACGUCUGGACGGUACCGAAGCAGAAAGCCACGGCUAACUACGG
RNAcentral lists this ribosomal RNA (496 nucleotides) under uncultured bacterium. Its description in RNAcentral is "partial 16S ribosomal RNA". It matches the Rfam family "Bacterial small subunit ribosomal RNA", at positions 28 to 506 of the family's 1533-position model. The record is from RNAcentral.